RNAcentral lists this unclassified non-coding RNA (400 nucleotides) under soil metagenome. RNAcentral describes it as "partial contains 5.8S ribosomal RNA, internal transcribed spacer 2, and large subunit ribosomal RNA". The stretch from base 1 to 122 matches the Rfam family "5.8S ribosomal RNA", at positions 35 to 154 of the family's 154-position model. The record is from RNAcentral.
GAUGAAGAACGCAGCGAAAUGCGAUACUUGGUGUGAAUUGCAGAAUCCCGUGAACCAUCGAGUCUUUGAACGCAAGUUGCGCCUCAAGCCAUUAGGUUGAGGGCACGUCUGCCUGGGCGUCACAUAUCGUUGCCUGAUGCCAGUUUCCUCGUGAUGGGUGACUGUGCAGGGCGAAUGAUGGCUUCCCGUGAGCAUUGUUGCCUCAUGGUUGGUUGAAAAUUGAGUCCUUGGUAGGGAGCGCCGUGAUAGAUGGUGGUUGAGUGACGAACGAGACCCAAUCAUGUGAGACCCCUACCGAAUUUGGCCUUCAUGACCCACAUGCGUCUUUGGAACGCUCAUGACGAGACCUCAGGUCAGGCGGGGCUACCCGCUGAGUUUAAGCAUAUCAAUAAGCGGAGGU